RNAcentral lists this ribosomal RNA (508 nucleotides) under uncultured bacterium. RNAcentral describes it as "partial 16S ribosomal RNA". It matches the Rfam family "Bacterial small subunit ribosomal RNA", at positions 28 to 523 of the family's 1533-position model. The record is from RNAcentral.
GAUGAACGCUAGCUACAGGCUUAACACAUGCAAGUCGAGGGGAAACGAUAGGGAAAGCUUGCUUUUUCUAGGCGUCGACCGGCGCACGGGUGAGUAACGCGUAUCCAACCUGCCCAUCACUUGGGGAUAACCUUGCGAAAGUAAGACUAAUACCCAAUGACGUCUCGAGAAGACAUCGGAAGGUGAUUAACGAUUUAUCGGUGAUGGAUGGGGAUGCGUCUGCUUAGCGUGUUGGCGGGGUAACGGCCGACCAAGGCGACGAUCAGUAGGGGUUCUGAGAGGAAGGUCCCCCACAUUGGAACGGAGACACGGUCCAAACUCCUACGGGAGGCAGCAGUGAGGAAUAUUGGUCAAUGGACGAGAGUCUGAACCAGCCAAGUAGCGUGCAGGAAGACGGCCCUAUGGGUUGUAAACUGCUUUUAUAAGGGAAUAAAGUGAGUCUCGUGAGACUUUUUGCAUGUACCUUAUGAAUAAGGACCGGCUAAUUCCGUGCCAGCCGCCGCGGUAA